AUCCCUGUGGCUCAGUUGGUAGAGCAUGGUGUUUGCAACGCCAGCAUGGUGUGUGCAACGCCAGGGUUGUGGGUUCAAUUCCCACAGGGGGCC
This 93-nucleotide transfer RNA is filed under the name Salmo salar (Atlantic salmon). It matches the Rfam family "tRNA". Rfam says of the family: Transfer RNA (tRNA) molecules are approximately 80 nucleotides in length. The record is from Rfam by way of RNAcentral. Lineage: Eukaryota; Metazoa; Chordata; Actinopteri; Salmoniformes; Salmonidae.